This 430-nucleotide unclassified non-coding RNA is filed under the name fungal sp. Its description in RNAcentral is "partial internal transcribed spacer region". The stretch from base 1 to 46 matches the Rfam family "Eukaryotic small subunit ribosomal RNA", at positions 1786 to 1831 of the family's 1831-position model. Lineage: Eukaryota; Fungi. The record is from RNAcentral.
AAGUCGUAACAAGGUUUCCGUAGGUGAACCUGCGGAAGGAUCAUUAACACAUUUUCUUUCAUUCUACAAACAUUGGCGCACUGGGAGCCACUGGCGGGAGUGUCGGCAGCGCAAUGGUUGGAUCUCUAGUUGUUUUCAAUAGGAGACGGCCUGCCGAAUAGUUACAAACCCAUAAGAGCCCCUUUCACAAUUGGACGCGGGCCAUGAGGAUGAGGUUCGAGCUCUACGCCUGUGGUAUAACAGCCUCUAACCUGGCUGGACCAUUUUUUUUAUUAUAUUGAAAGACCGUCUGAUGUGGUUUCAGAUCGAGAAACCAGACUCUUCUCUCUCGAGGGAUGAGCUUGGCUUUUCUCUGAGGCCAAAAGCAAUGGAGGAAUCCAUUUGUUUUACAAAUUAAACACAACUCUUAACAGCGGAUAUCUCGGUUCUC